UACAAUUUUUACCUACCUAUUUUUUAAAGAAUUGUUCACUUUUUGACGGAUGGUUCACAACUAUAAUACUAUAAUAUUUUAACUUUAGCGGCUUAAAUUCUAGUUGAAUGUUGAUUCUGUUUAGUUUAUCAUACUACCAAAAUCGUCCAUACCUGAAAAUGUAAGAAGAAAAAAAUCACAAAGUAUCGAGUAGAAUGUAACAUUCAAAAAUCAUGUACUUAUCUAAUGAUUCAAAUGAUUUCCUUGAUUAAUGCCAUUCGUGCGUUCGCUUCGAUUUUGUUUUGUCGGUCGGCUGCCGCCAAGAUUUUCGAUCGAAUCCUCCAGUACCAGCUGUUUCGUUAUUUCAAGUUCUCCAUGGCGCUGAAAUGAUUAACAAGAAAAAAUUAAACAAAGUAUCUGGUAAAUCAAAAGAUUUGUUUGAAAAUUAUACCUGCGCACAAAGCGUAAACAACAACCAGCCGCACAAACGUUUCACUUCAGACUGUUUCUGCCUGCGCCUGCCUGCCUGCAUGAGAGCAGGUUGAUUGGCGCUGUGAGUAGGUAACGAGCGUAGCAGAAAAGAGAGAGCGCACAAACAAAUAUUAUUUUGCGCUUAAUCCAAAAUAUAUAAAUUGAUUCAGAAAUAUUUGUGCGAAAUGUGUGUGUGAAAUUAAUAAACAAUUAUUUAAGACAUGAGAGUCUGCAAUCUGACGAUCUCGAUUGUUUUGACCGUGUCCCCCAAAAAAGUCCAAACGAUUCCAAUUAGGGGCUAUUACCAGACGAGCAACAAAGUUUAAAGAUCGCAACGAGAUUAGCGCGUUUCCUUUGAUGGUUGUUGUAGAUUCUGCGAAAUAUUACUUUCGCGGGGGUCCUGAAACUUCACUUCGUCGGGGUAAAAACCCUAUUUUUUACCAACUCAAACGAGUUUAUCGACUUUAAACUGAUCGUCAACGGCGAAGCGAUUUUUCUUUCCUAUUAGCCGUACAUAAACACGUCGCACAACGACGGAACAGGACCGGACAGCAGAGCUUUAAAAUGUCACAAGGCGGUGGCACCAUCACCGUGUGUAACAAGAGCAUUCCCAGCCGGAUCAGCUCUCCGACCGAGAUGCACCGUCGAGUUUCCGCUCAUCAUACUCAAGACAUUCGGUGCUUGCCAAGCUGAAAGUCGAAAUCGCGUCGACACAGGUGCCAAGACACCAAUUAGUACGAACAAUCAGUUUAAAUAAAACUGUUAUGUUCCGGCCAUAAUGUAUCGGUACAUCAAUAAUAUAAACAUUGUGAAGCAAACAUUUCGAAGAGUAUUGAAAAACUGCCUUUGCCCACUCCGUUCUUUUUCGGCCCCUAAGUACUCAAAAAUUGGGCGCCAUCCUCAAUUCGUGCAAGCUCCAUGACGGCCUAAAAGUCCAUUACCCUAAGUGAUACGAUCACUCGCAAAAAACACCGCGAAUCGAAAACCGUCAAGUUUCGCGCUAGUUCAUACACCGCGAGACCAGUGUGGAUCAUCAGAAGCACGUACCACCGGCACUCUUCACCAGUCCGAACGAAAUUGCCAAGCCGACAGGUUCACGGAAAAGCUUACAAUUUUGGCGAGGGGGACGCAGCCGCUACCGCAAACGAAGGGUCAUUUUUAAAGAGAAUCCCUACCAAAAUAAUCAUCCAUGUUGUCUUGGAAGCACUGUAAUUUGCGCUUGAAAAAAAUACCUUCCAAAUAUCGAAUCGGCAGGAACAGUUUAACACCGGCAAACGUCUCGGCAUUUCCAAUCACCCAUCGAUGCUGGUUGAUGUACUUUGAUAGAGCCAACUUCGAGUCCACUUCCGGAUUGAAGCGCACCUCGUACACGAUCUGGAUCUCACGCAAUCCUAAUGUAUUACAUGAGCUGAGCUGGCGUACCAUUUGUUCCCAUCCGCUUGACCGGUCUGAAACUAAUCGCGGUCGUAAUUUGCGACAUCUGUUCCGUCAGCUGAAUCUUAUUUUCGUUGCUCCUCAAGUGUUCAUCAGCUGCUGCAUAAAUCGGCCACACCCUGCACCAGGAAUUGACAAGGCCGGUGCCAAAUCAUCUGCCAACGUCGGAACCGAUCGGCCUGACUCAAGCGGCUGAUUCAACAGUCCCUGAACAAAACUGCGACCGACCACGGCCAGGUUCGACGAAACGAUACUUGCCCGACUCGAACAAGACCAACCCACUCGUUCCGAUCGUCGGAACGUUGCGAGCCAGUUGACCGCGGCCAAUAAUUUUGCGCAGCGAUUUGUGCGUCGUCUCCGGGAUGCGCGUCUGGAAGCCAAUGUCUGCCGAAUCUUUCGCACUUGUUUUGCCGGAACCUCAGUCUUCCGACGAGCUGGACUGGCUUAGCAGCGUAUGCCCCAGAUUCAACCGGGAACCAAAUGCACAAAAUCAGCAGCAAAUCGCGGACAAAACGAACGAAAAAACGCGACUCACGACGGAAUUACUCAAAACAAUGUUUUGACGUUUCUGUUUCAGUUCAGCGCAGCAGGCGUCGUUGCGCGAGAUAUUUAUUAGUGAGAAGGAAAGAGAGAGCGCAUCGAGCAACACACCAUUUACAACGCGUCGACCACGACAGCAACAACUCAGCUGUUUAUGUUGACAGAUUUUCAGGAGGGGGUUUGGCCAUUUUUGUCGAUCGAUGAUAAAAUCGAUGUCGACUCUCCGAUAUUAUGGAAAGUUGGAUGCAAGUCGAUCAGUACAGGAAAGGGAACGUUCUUAUAUUACGUGAUGCAAAAUCACGCUAACUGGUACUUAAAAUGGCACUUUGCUGAGUUCGUUUUCGCACUUUUUCAUACGAAUUUUUCAGCUCGACUACGAUUACCAAAAAAGUGUAACUGUUGAACUAAACAAUUAGUAUGGGGAGGGAGUAAUUGAACUCAGUGAAGUGCGAUUUCAAGUUACAGUGUAUAACGUGUCAGAUUAUAAAUAUAUAAAAUAAAUUUACGUUGAUUCGGUUAACAGUGCAAACAAAAAUAAAACGUCUUAAAAAGAAAUCGAAGAGAUUUCACAUCAUCGUUGUCGCGAAGUUUUUACCCAAAAAUAAAUGAAAUGGGUUGAAAAUCAUCAGAAUCACUUAGCGGAACUUGAACAAAUGCAUAUUAUGUUGUAAAACUGCGAUUUUCCCAUCAAAUAUGGUUUCUGGCUGCAUUCUGGAUCCUGUGCCGGUGGCCACUUCUAACUUCAUCCACAAUCCUCACAAGGCACGAAGCCGUCGUUUUGUACUACGUCGUAACAAAGAUGCUCCACAACCCACUAAGAAUUUUGGCUCGAACUUCGACUCGAUUCAGGCUCGAUCUCGAGCAUCUCGAGCCAGAUCAAUUCGAGGCUCGAGCCAAAAUUCUCAGAGGGAAUCGACUGCACCUCAUGAAGAACUCGUCCCUCAAGAUUCCGGUCUAUUCACGUGCCUCCUGAAUCAGCAUGAUGUUUUUUGUUGAAAACCGUCCCGGUUCAGCGGAACCCGUAGAGUGAUCAUCGAGUGAAAACUUUUUAGAGGAGCCUUCUCAGGGUGUCCACUUCGUGCUGAUAUACGUUGUGUAAAGGUGUAUUCACAUUAUACCGCAUCCGCAGCCGCAGCCGCAUCCAUAUAAAAUUUGACAGUACGGACGCACAGUGCGGACGCGAUUUCUCCAAUGCAUUUCAUAUGCAGCCAUUCACACUGUUCCGCAUCCGUAUCUGCAGUACGGAUCUGUAUACGAAUGGUGUUGAUCAAUUAAACGACAUUUCAGGGCAAUCCAUUUUAAAUCUUUGGUUGUACAAAGCAUCAUUGUACUAAGAAAAAUAUUCUUUAUCGUUACGAACAAACACAAAUUUAAGCUUAAUUUAAUAACCAAUUCUUUAUGCUUAUGAUGAAUACUUGCAUAUCAAUUGAAAUGAUGAUAAAAGGCUCAAUAAAAUUGUCUUUAAAGUAAAUUUAAAACAAAUACAUAACAUUGAUAAAAAUUACAUAUUAGUAAAAAAAAGUGUCGGAAAAUUGAUAUUUUACCAAAAAAAGAAAACUUGCUCCAAUUAAACAAAAUAAAAUCAAAGUAUCAUCUCAUGAUGCAGGGUUUUCGAAAAUGUGUUUAUAAGUGCCAAUUUUGCAAAUUAAAAUUUUAUAAAUAAAUAAUGUUUUGUGCCCAUCUGCUCGGAUGUAUGUUUUAAACUAUUUUAAAUCUAAAUAAAUUUUAAAGAAUUCGUUGAAAACAAUCAUUGUAGAAAAAAAGUAUAAUAUUAAAAUUUACUCUUUGUUUUGUGUAAAAAAAAACUUUGCAAAUCGUAACUAUUUUUCAAAUAAUUAUUUUAUGUUUCCAUAUGCUUCUUGCGUAUCGAGAUGACUAUUUGAACUUUAGAAUAAUCUUUUGAUAUACGAUAACCAUUUCAGCAAAUAUACUUAAAUAGUUUUUCAAAGUCGUCAAGAAAAAAAAUCACCAUUACUAACUAUAAAAUAACUCUAUUACGUAUGGUAACCAUUUAACAAAUAGUUAUCGAGGUCCGCCAAAUAACAUUAUUACAAAUGGUGACCUUAUCUCAUAAGGUUUUUUUAAGUUCCUCACCAGAAUCGAUAUAGUUUUCGUUUAUCCGGGCGUUUGGUUUGAACAUUAGCCCAAAUAGUUUUCAAAGGAUGAUGACCAUUGCAAUGGCAGGUCUCACUCCUGAAGUAGCUUUUAUUUAUAUUGACGAUAUUAUUGUCAUAGGAUGCUCAAUGAGACAUCACAUUAAAAAUUUAACUACUGUUUUUGAAAGAUUGCGACAUUACAAUUUGAAGCUUAAUCCUUCAAAAUGUAAAUUUUAAAUCUGAAGUAACUUAUCUGGGGCACAAAGUCACAGAUAAAGGAAUACUCCCAGAUGAUUCUAAAUAUGAAUCACUGGUUAAAUAUCCAGUGCCGCAGAAUGCUGACGAAGUUCGAAGAUUCGUCGCAUUUUGUAACUACUAUAGAAAAUUCGUUGAAAAUUUUUCAACAAUUGCUCACCCUUUAAACCAGUUAUGUAAAAAGAAUUGCAAAUUUGACUGGUCUGUUCAGUGUCAACUCGCCUUCGACACACUGAAACACAAACUACUUUCACCAAAAAUUUUACAAUACCCUGAUUUUGCCAAAACUUUUAUUCUCACAACGGAUGCUUCUAACGUCGGUUGUGGAGCAAUUUUAUCCCAAAUCACUAGUGAAGGCGAUCGACCGAUAGCCUACGCUAGCAGAACUUUUACACCUGGUGAGAAAAAUAAGUCUGUUAUUCUCAAAGAACUAACAGCAAUCCACUGGGCAAUUAACUACUUCAAACCAUAUCUUUACGGAAAUAGGUUUGUAAUCAGAACUGAUCACAGACCACUUGUACAUUUAUACGGAAUGAAAGACCCAACAUCCAAAUUGACACAAAUGCGUUUGGAUUUAGGAGAAUUCAAUUUCGAUGUAAUAUAUAUAGCUGGUAAGGAAAACGUGGGUGCGGACGCGCUCUCACGAAUAGUUAUAACAAGUGAACAACUACAAAAUAUGCAAAUGCUCGUAGUAAACACGAGAUCAAUGCAGAAAACGAAAAGCAUGCAAAGCACGCAGGUUGAUACUAGUAUCGCCUAUCAAGCGGCUUAUACAGUUGAAAACAUUAAUGAAACGAGAAAAUUAUGCGCUUUACGUGUUGUCAAUAACACUUUACAGAUCUAUAAAAACAAAAAAAUAAUGAUGAAAAUCCCAUUUCAGCCAGAAAAUGAAAGACCAACUUUAGAGAUGACUCUUUCAAGGCUUGAAAAAGAAUUAAAGAAAAUGAGAAUCAAUCGAAUAUCUCUUUCAACGGAAGAUGAAAUUUUCAAAAAAGUAACAACUUCUACAUUUAAAAUUGUAGCUAAUAAAACUUUGCAAAGUCUACAAAUUUUAAUAUACAAACCACCAAUGUAUGUAGAUAACAAAAAUAAAAUUCAAGAAAUCUUACGAAAUUUCCACAAUACACCGACAGGAGGACACGUAGGACAAACUAAAAUGUACCUACAGAUCCGAGACCUGUACCGGUGGAAAGCAAUGAAACGUUCUAUUACACUUUUCGUUCAGGCCUGCGAACUGUGUAAAAGAAAUAAAAUU
This is a long non-coding RNA of Culex quinquefasciatus (southern house mosquito), 6030 nucleotides long. RefSeq lists it as uncharacterized. NCBI's taxonomy places the organism in Eukaryota, Metazoa, Arthropoda, Insecta, Diptera, Culicidae. The transcript is spliced from 2 exons. The record is from RefSeq and is a predicted model, not a curated record.